Long non-coding RNA from Gallus gallus (chicken), 28758 nucleotides. RefSeq lists it as uncharacterized. NCBI's taxonomy places the organism in Eukaryota, Metazoa, Chordata, Aves, Galliformes, Phasianidae. The transcript has 5 exons. The record is from RefSeq and is a predicted model, not a curated record.
GUCACCUAGCAAGACAGAUGAAAGACAAAAGUUGGGAAGCAUUGGCUGCUCAAUUUUAUGAUAGGCAGCUAGGGUACUCGCUGAAUAGUUUCACUGAUUAAGUGUUUAGUGGAAGAAUUUCUUGUGACAAUAGGCUGCAUGGUUUGAUACAAAUACUGUCAGUGUCUCCAAACUGCAUUCAUUAUUUUUAACCUUGUGAGCCUGUGGAACAGUUGUUUCCCCCUCAUUCUCCCUCUGUGAGCUAAAAAUUGCUGAACUUUUGUGUAUAUAAUUGGAUUUUAAAGAGUAGAAAGACAUCUGAAGGCCUGAGAAAUGCUCCUGAAGUACAGCAGGGCAGAGAAAAUUUCUAAAAGAUUUUAAAAAUGCAGUAAUUUUCCUUCCCAAUUACUACAGCAGACCAAAGUGCAUUGCUGAUGCUUUUCAGGGAGCAACAAUUUGUCAGGAACAAUGUUAGAAGUUCAAAUAUACAUUAUGUUAGAUUUAUUUGAAAAUAUUUCCAUUUAAAGCUUAUAACACUUGACUUUGCUGCAGAGAGCAAAUAUUAAUUAAAAAAUUUGUUCACUGUUGGUGCUCUGUGUAUGUAAGGUGUCUACUAUGCCCAUAAAUAAAAAAUCCAGAACUGAGGAAUCAAAGGUGCAGCAUAUCUUGCUGAAAGCAACAGGCUCAUUGCCAAACUGAAAAUUACUCAUCCAAGGAAGGCAUGAAUAUGGGAUACUUAGGAAGAAAAAACUUAUCCAGCUUGAGCUUUCAAGAAGAGUUACAGAAAUUAAUCUUGAACUACUUUGAUAAUAGAUAACUCUGGAAGAUUGUUUAUUAAAGGCACACAAUGAAAUAAGGUUGUUGGGUUUCUGUUGUUUUGGUUUUUAAUGAACUGCAGAACAUUUUUCAGUGUAACGGUAGUAUUUCAUGCUUGGAAAAAUACUAAUUAUACCCUAAAUGCAGUUAGUGUGUAAAAUGGGUGGGUAAUAUGCAGUUAGUGUGUAAAAUGGGUGGGUAAUAUGCAGGUAUGAUUUCCAGGAAAAACAAGCAGAUUAUGCUAGUAAAUGUUAUCUCCUUUCUAUUGUUGAUUUGAAUCAUAUAAGCAUGGAAAUACUGAUAGAAAGGAACUACUGGAGGUUACUUAGUCCAACUUGCUGUUUGAAGCGUGAUUGUUGCUGUCAAUUUGUAGACUUUUAUAACUUUCUAUGGAAUGUAAGUGUUAGGUGAGAUUAUGAGCACAGUAAACAUUUCUCUGUUUUGUCUACUGCAAAAUAAAUGCAACAACUAGAGUUAUAUGUGUACCUAUGAAUGGGUUCUUGAGUUUGAUUGUCCAGGAAAUGGACAAUCUUGGCUUGACUCACUAUACGAAAUUAAGAAAACUGUCUGCAUCUAAGACUAAUUAUUCUAAACCAGACAGUUACAGAGCAGAUCAUACACAAGCAAAGUGUGUUAUGUGAGGAAAUGCAAGAAUAUGGCAGAUGGCAGUUUUGAAGGCUCCCAUGGGAAGCAUAUCUGUGAAGUCGAGUCCCUCUGUGUGCAAAGAUGAACGUUUAUAUGACUUCUAAACUCCUCCUAGACAGCAGCAAACAUCAUCACAGCUUUGAUUUCAUUCCCAGAACUACUAAUCUCCCACAUCAGUAUUUCCUGGAACAGGACCACAGUGCUGAAAAGCUGACUGGCUCUUGCUGUAGGCAAUAAGUCAUGGAAAAUGUAAAGCAGAGUGUAAAUAUACCUGCACAUGUGGGCAUAGGAGUGGGAUGUGGGCACCCUCUUGUCUCCACGAAAAGGUAGUAUGUCAGUAGAUUCAUGCUUAUCCCUAUUCAAAAAGAUUUUCAAUAUUAUUUAUCAAUUUACAUGACUCCUUAAAACCAUGGUACAAUAGUUAAUUCCUAAAUUACUGUGAAAUUCCUAUGGAAGUACAUAUUACAGCCACAUUAAUAACACAUUAGCUCAUCAUGAUUAAUGUUACUGCAAUAAAUGAAUUAAUAAUGAUUUGCCUCUUUACCAAGCUUUUUUUUUUUUUACCUUGACAUGAAGAGGAUCCAUGGCAUUGAUUAUCACAAAUAUAAUGGAUUGAUUCAUCAUUUAUGGGAAAAGGAACUGCUCUUCCCAUAAAACUUGUUCUUUUAUUGCUUUUUGUCCCCCUCCUUUCCUCAGUAGAUGUAUUAUCUUUGGCAGGAAUUCAAACCAUCUAUAGAUCAUUUGUAAGAGUCAAUUCAGCUUCAAGUACUGUGACUUGAAUGCUAGCUGUGAGACAAUGAGUGGAACUCAGGCAAAUGGGUCGUCACAGAUAAAGUCUGUCAGGAAAGAAGAUCGUUCUCCUGGAUAAUGAAGGUUAGGCAUUAAUGGAUGCCUCUGUACAGUGAGAUUAGGUGUUGUUGCAGCUAUUUUAUUUUGGGUAAAGUUGAUUUACCAGUGUAUGUUGUGAUAUUUAUAUAUUCAAAAGUAUCAUGAUGAUAUACAAUGCUUCUGUUUUGCCAAGCAGAAGAAGGCUUAUGUCCUUACUAAAAUGGGAAGAUAUUGAAAUUAAUCUUUAGAUAGCUUCUGUGUUCUCCUUAGCAGAGGUUAUUAGUGUCUUCAUGCUGUGUACGUGAUCACAUAAGAUGAGGGCUGUUCUGAAAGUAAUGCCUUUUUCUUGCUCCAAUUAUAGGAGGAAGAGAAAGUUUUUUGAUACGUAUGUGUACUUGAUGGUGAGAUUAAGACACAACAGGUCAAAUGUUAGCCCAAUCAGUUUAUUACAAAUCCUAAUUGCUUAGGGAGAUGGGGAAGGGAAGAUGGGUGAUAGCAAAGAUAUUGGAAAUAAAAACAAGAACUCUUUGUAGAAAGCAGGAGAGAUAGUCACCCCCAUGGGUCCAGUGUGGUUCCUAGUGCAUCUGUUGAUCCCAGAAAUUCAUGUGGUCACCAUGAGGGAUGGGAGAAAGACAGGAAGCUUUGCACCAUAGAAACAAGCAAGCCCCUGGGUGUUCUUUCCUAAGAGGUUUUUUUCUCUUAUGGAAUGCCUCUGCCAAAGGCCUUUUUUUUUUCUUUGGGAGUACUUCUCCUCCAGAGAGCUUAGUUUAGUGGGGAUCUUUUAUCUCCCUGCUUUUCUGUUUCUUUCUUUUUCUUCUUUUCUCUCCAUUAGUGUGACACACCUGGCCCAAUAGAUAAGCCAGUAGGGAGUGGUGCCUUUGUUGCCAUGCAUGAGCAUUUCUGCCUUUUGCAGUGGUCACCUCCUUCAAGCCACACCCCCGAAAAAGACUGCUUGUUAUUCUUCUGUUUAUCCUUACAAUCAUAAGCAGAAGUAUUGUGACACAGUGACAACCACCUCUUGCCCCUGUAGAUAGUUCACAGAAGUCAGUUUAGAGUCUUAUCACCAAAAAGCCCUCACGAAGCAAACUUUGAGCAAAAAAAACAACAACAAAAAAAAAAAAAAACCCAAAAAACCAACCAACAGUUUUGUCUUUCACAGCCUUCUAUUUUAUUAUGUUGGCCCACAAUGUCAGAGGCAGAUGUUGGUGAUAUGGCAGUAGAGGUUGACCAUUAUCACCAAUAUUCCUUUGCAGUUUGUUUCCAUGAGACAGAUGGCAGCAGAGGGGCAGUCUGUCAAAAUGGUGUCUGACAUGGAAGUGUGUAUAAAGCAAAGGUCUGUCACUGAAUUCCACCAUGAGAAAAAAGUGGCACCCAUCCAUCAAUGCUUGCUGAAGGUUUGUGGUGACCACACAGUGGAUGUGAGCACAGUGAGGCAGUGGGUCGUGUGUUUCAAUAGUGGUGACAGUGACAAUGACCUCCACUGGUGCAGAUUUUUAUGAGCAGGAUAGGCUAGCAAAAAUACAUAGUUAGCGGUGGUAACUGUGUUGAAAAAUGUUUUGUAGCUGAGAAUUGGCUCUGUCAAGCAUUGUCUUUGUCUCUGUUGUACUUUCCAUGGAAAUAAAUAUGUGGUUCUACUUUUGGAGUGACCUACAUAUUAAAAGACUCAAUUGUUAGUAUGCACUUAGACUCAUUUUCAUCACAGUAUUUUAUGGCUAUUUAAAAAGUGAUAAUUGUGCUUUUAUAUAUAUAUAUAUAUAUAAAACACUAAGAAACAGAAUAGAUUACUCAGUAUUUUGGUCUUCCUUUUACACCUUCAGUCUUUCAAGGACAUAGUAGCUAAAACAAAGUUGCAAGAGCAUAAUGGAACUCAAAACAAUGAGGAAAAUAUAGCACAAGAAUGUGGGGUUAUGCAUAAAUAAGGUCUUACUCCUUAUAUAAAGAAAUACAUCUUUCCAAUCUCUGUCCUUAUUAUGCAAAUGAUCUUUCACUCCUUUUUUAAAUACAAAAUAAACUGUUCAGUUCUCAGAGAUCAUGCCAAUAGAUACAAUUAAAACUUCCAGGUAAGUAAAGUCAGAAAUACAGGACAGCUAUUCACAAAGGCAUCCAUCUGCUCACUCCAAUGUCCUACUUCUUUAAGUGUGCAUGGUAGAGAGUCAAAUUUUCCCUGCUGGUACAUACUGUGACAUUGGAACUUAAUCAACAUUAUACUUAAAAUACACAUUUAAAUGAUCAGCUGCUUUUAGUCUCUUCCUACUCUUACUUUUAUACUAUAAUUCUUCCUCAAAAUGAGAUGAUACUUUCAUUGGAGAAAACAUCUCAGUGAGAAAAAAUUGUAAAUAUACUGAUACCUUCAUAUGAAACAUUAAUUCAACCAAAAAAAAAUAUUAAAAAAAUACAGCUUUCCAAAGUAUUGAUUUUGUAUAAUGUAAAGUUCUCUCGCUAUUACUCAAGAUUUUCUCUCCUGAAUUCUACUGCAUGCUGAUAAAAAUUCUAAGUAUGAUCUAUCAAUGGAUGCCAUCCAUGUCUUGAUGUUUUGCUUUGCAUAUAAAUUCUGAUUUUGUCCACCUUUCUCAGUCUUUCUGAUUUAUAUGGGGAAUCUUUUAAAAUACUUUGCAGGUAUGCAAAAAAGAAAUAUUCUCAGCAUCAUAAAUUCAAAAGGAGACUGCCUGUGAGAUUUCCCCAUCUCCAAAGAUGAAAAAUAAAAAUAAAAUAUGACUAGAGUACAUUGGGUUUUCCAUAUUGUUUCCAAAAGUCAGAAAACCAUAUGUUUAACCACACUGUAAAUGAACAUUUCUCUGAUGGAGUGAGUCAUAUAAAGGUCACUUCCACCUUGAACUGAGAGCUUAGGAAUUCACUGAAAGCCUAUAUAUUAAUAGUAAAACAAAACAUGAAUUUUCUUUGAAGAUCCAUUCUGACUUUCAAGAUCUGAAUCUAGAGAUUGUUAUUACAUACUCUGCUAUUAUAAAUUCUAGUCACUUCACACCUGUAGACAAAAAUGUAUUUUUUAAUUAUUUUUAAAUAAUUUUGGAAUAACCAUUUAGUAUGAAUUAUUUCAGUCAGCAGCUGAAUUCUUUUAAUACCGUUGGAAGUAAGAUAACAUAUUUUUCUCUAGUGUUUCUUUAAAUCUCUGAGAAAUGUUCGUUUAAUCAAGGUCUCAAGAAAGAAGCUCAUGUAGUUGUCUCAGUUAUAUGCAUGUAAGUACAGAUUCACAUCUAUGGCUGCGGCUACACAUUCAUAUAACUCACAUACUGAGGGCUUCUCUAACUAACCCACUCCUAAAAUUUCUUCUCCACAAAUAUUGCACAAUUAUUUUAGAUAACUGAACAGUUCAUAAGCUGAAUCUUCAGGAUGAGUACCUAAAUGGAUCAGACACAUUUAUAGUGGCUGGAGGGAGAAAUAUUAAAGCUUUACAACUUAUAUCUCCCCCAAAUCCUAUAGUGUAAAAAUAACUGAAGUGCAGUUGACCCUUCUGAAAGGGAUGUUAGAAAAGUGGUAGAAACAUACUACCGCUGUCUGAGUGGUAGUUUUUUUUAGUAAAGCACAUUAGCCACAUUUCCGAUGAAAAGGUUUGGACUAUCCCUUCAGAAGUCUCAGUAAGAGUAUACUUAGUCAUUAACUAUGCUUUUUUAAAAGCCAAAUGCUUCUUGCCUAGAAUCUCAUCAAAUUUCAAAAUCAAUUAAACUCAUUAAAACAUCUUAGGGUAUUUUCUUAAUUUUUCCCUUAACACAGUAAUAGCUUAGAUGCUGCUCUGUUUUAUAAACAUUUUCAGUUGGAUUAUUUAGUUUCCUUAGCUGAAAGAAAUGAGUGUGAACCAUCUUUUCCUCAAAAUAGUACUAUAUGAAGACAUUUGUUUUGUUUUUCUCCAGUAGUUAUUUACCAAGCCAUAGAUAUGACAAAGCUACAGAAAUAUGUCAGCUUAUUCUAUGUAUCAGCCUACUGCAUUGUUUAUAGUAAAGUCUUUUCCUGUGUCUUAGUACAACCCCAGACAUCAAAUAUGCAUUAUGUUUAGAAUUACAGUCAACGCUGCUGAAUAUUCAUGUUGUCCUAUCAACCACAAGUCUGAACUUCUUUUGUCACUGAGAGUGAAUGCAACUGCUAUAUUAACUGUAGAAUCUACUCCAUCUAAUCUACAAAUAUCUUUGAGCAAGUUCUGACCUCUGUCUGAGAAAAUACAGGGACAAUAAAUGACUACAAAUAUACAGCAAAAGCCCAUAGCUACAAAGGAAUGUAUUGUUGAUGUAUCCUUGAAGUAAGAUAUCUGCAGGGCAGAACAUAAUAGGAAGCUACAAGUAUAGUGAUCUACAAAACAGCACAUCCAAUCCAAAAAGUUCAAUAUCUCUUUGCAGUAUGUAGCUUGAACAACUUUUGUACAUCAGCUUGCUUUGUUGACAUCUUAUAAGCUGAUUGCUCAGGAAAUGUGGGUCCAUGAUGAGUAAAAUGUCAGUUUCUUUAUGGGGAUAGUCAAGUGCAGAUUCCUCUGCAAAAGAAAGGAAAAAUGUGCAGGCAAUAGCCUAGAAUGUAACAUUUCCUGACGGAAGAGUUUUUUGAAAUCUUCUGAUCUCUCAAAAGUAGACAAUAUCACAAGUGCCAAAUGCAAAUAACAAUAUUCUUAUGUUACUUUGUCUGUAUCAUUCGACCUAAAUUCAUUCUUACAUGAUUCUUUUCAGAUUUGCUCUUUUAUUUCACUUUUUUUUACUCUUUUAUUUCUUUUUAUUAGUUCAUUUCCCAGAAUAUAAUAGAUAUUUUGUAAUAUAUGAAAGCAUACUUUUCUAUAUUUUUGAUUGAGGGAUUUCUUAAUUUUUCAGGAUGAGAAUUAAAGAAAAAAAUCCUUUAUCUUUGAUUUUAUUUAUUAUGCAAACCUGACAACCUAUUUUGGAUUUCCAACAAAUCCGGAAUUUUAAAUCAUAUUUCUCCACACAUGGCAUUAAUUUAACUUUGUCUUGCCUUCCUGCAACACAGCAACAGAUGUUGAAAAUUUCUGCUUUCUAAUACACCUCUGAUCUCAUGAAGAUUCUUUUCAGGAAUAGGCAAUAGGCAGAAAUAUGUUUUUAAGCUUCAGCUCAUUUAUAGAAUUGUCUCUGAUGAAUUUUUUUUUUUCUCCCCCCCCCCCCAACAAAAUGGGUUUCAUUCCUUUUUCAAAUAUUUAUUUUCUAAAUUUGAAGAGAAUUUGCAUUGAAAAAAAAAUAAUGCUUAAAAGUCAUCUUUUUUGUUCAUGCAAUUAAACAAGACAUGGGACUUGAAUGCUGACCUAUAUUCAUCAGUUCAAUUGCUACAGUGUAUUUUAACUUCUUACAGAUGUACUCUUGAAAUGGUUAACCUUUACUGUCUAUCUUCACUAAUAUGACCUUAUCUCUUCAGAUUCUGAUUUUUAAGGUGGAUAUUUAAAAAAAUUGGUGAAAGGUUGUAUUUUCUUAUACAUUUGGGACAAUUUCAAAGGAGGUAUUUGCCAGGUCUCAUCAGUAUGAGUGGACUGAUUUGUUUGGUGUCACCAAGUCAAAAUAACUGUAAUCCAUCUGAAUCACUCAGAUGAGACCUUCAUACAGCUGCGUUAUAUUGGGUGUAGCACUACAAAAUAGCUGGAAUUUAUUGUUGACUCUGACCUCCUAUUUAUUAAUAAUUUAUGUGGUACAAGGCAUAUGUUAUAUGGGUGUGUAACAGCAAAUAGAUAUAUAUGCAGAAACUUGCAUGCAAGUGCUAUAUGAAUUAUCUGUUAUGGGUAAAAAAAAUAAGAGAUUCACUAUGUUAUUGACUAACUUGAAUUAAUAACACCAGGGAAGAGAGCCCAGCCCCCCCAUAAUCACACAUUUUCUCAUGUUUUGUUUUGUUCAGCAACCAUUUUCUUCUUAGUCUAUUUUAUUCUGUGUUGCUUGCUCAGAAUAUGAGAGUAUCCUAUUCAUUUCCCUGAAAACACAAGCAAAAACAAUAGAGAAGAAAAUCAUCUCUUUCUGAGGGCUUUGCAAAUGAACUACAGUUUUUUGUUUUGUUUUGUUUAUUUGCUCUUUGUAUGUGUGUCAGAUACAAUUGGUGAUGUCAGACAUAGCCUCCAUUAUGUAUUAUUGCUCAAGUGAGCUUUGCUCAUAUUAAAUUUCAUUAUCUUCAGGAAACACUAAGUAGAUAACAUGCAUAAAGAUCUGGAAGACUUGUUUAUCUAUUUGGUAUGUCAUACAGUACAUCGCAAGUAGGUGUUGUGACUCUAAAAUGAGUUUUCAUAGUGUCUGGAUGUAGUGGAUGUAGUUACACUAACUUCCAAAAUCUUUUUCAUAUAUAUGUUUUUAAACUAAUCAAAGAUAUAAAGAGGACACAAUUGUUAGGUUUGGGGACCUAAGCUUAGGUAUUUGGAGGAGGUUGGUCUUCACUCUCUCUGCUUGCGAACAUUUUUCCCAUUUGCCAAGAAUAGAAGUGCUGCUUGGGUAUCGGAGGUCUGCUCUGUUAAAAUUUAUACUACUAACUGGUAAUACUGCUUCUCCAUGAAGAAAAACAAAGCCCCAAACAAACAAAGACACCCUCAACCCAAUUUUCAAGCCUAACAUAAAUCUAAUGUUAGAAAGAGACACUUCUUGCCUAUAGGCUUUUUGAAUGACUCCUGAGCAUUACAUUGCUCUUUUUACAAGGAGCUGUUAAAAAGCUAUGUCAGAAGAUAAGCCAGCUUGUAGAAAGAGUAAACAUCUACAGAAUGAAUAUUUUUAAUCUGGAUUUUUUUUUUUUUUUAAUGCAAUGGAUUGUUAGCUGGCUGGCCGUUGAUGUUGUAGUUUAUGAAUUAUCUGUAAAAAAAACUUAAUAGAAGAAUUAAACAUGAUGACGGUAUCUUACCAACAUGCAUCUCAUGGGCAAUCUCUUCUGUUGCAAUCUGUUCCACUACUGCAAGGUACAGCCACAUCAAUUGUGUGUGCCACUCAUUGCAGAACAAUUUGUAUUUUUGCAUCAAUGGUGAAUAUAAACCAAGCAAAAAAAUCUCAUAUCUCAAACGUUAAAAAAAAGUCUAUUUUUUACUAUUUCCUAUUCUAGUUUUCAAUUGAAAAUAAUGACUUUUUAAACUUUAUAAAAAAAUGAGAUGCUUAAAAAUUUGAUUAACAUUUCUACUACAGAUGUUCUUGGUUUUUUUUUGUACUUGUGAAGGCUUGAGAUAGAACUGACUCCUGUCACAUCCAGUGAAUAGUAUGCUAACGUGAGAACUGUGCUCAUCUGAAAACACCGAAUUAGUACUGUCCAUUUAAAUAGGAAAUAACAGGGAGACAGAAAAUAGGGAAAACUAGCCCAGGGUAUUGAGUGGGAAGGAUUGCAUUGGGUUUAGCUAGACAAACAUGUUUUUUGUUCUAUUUCUUUAAAACAGAUAUGAUAUUCAGAGGCCAUUUUCUUUAGGAAGGGAUUUAAUCCAUGUAAGACUGAAGACUUAUUUGAUUAUCUUAUUCAGACAUUUUCACUGACUUUAUAUUAUUGAAACAACAUUAGUGGCCAUGUUUGUACUAACAGAUAAAACAUUAUGGGGGUAUAUUCCCCUUUUGUUUAAGUAGUAUCUCCUACACUGGUAUGAUAUUUUACUUUUCCAUACCUCCCAGACAACAGCAGCUCUUGCUUUGGGGAACUGUACGUGCAACUGUCCAUCUCUGGCAGGUUGUUUUGAUGUAAACACUCCAGUUUGAAGGGUAAAUUUAUGUGAUGGUUUAGUAAAUGAAAUCUAUCACUUAGCAUUGGGUUCUACGAACAUUUCCUAGUUGGUUGGGUCUAAGAAUAUUUCUUAAUUGGUUUUAUUUGGCAGUAGAGUGACUAGAGAGGCAUAUUUAGAAACUCAUCAGAGGAAGCUGUGCUGGAAAAACUUCCUCUCCAGCCACUCUUACCCUGGCCUGUAAGUCACAGAAAGAAAGAAACUACUGCAUGAUGAUUCUGAGAUAUCUGAGGUGAGUAAGAGCAGAGAACAUAGUAUAGUAUCUGAGAAAAGAAUAAUGUGUGAUUUAUUUAUUUAUUUAUUUUUCUUUUCAUUAUUUCCUUGGCAUCUUUCAGGUGGAAUGGAUAGAUUUCCUAGAACUACAACUUAUUCUCAACUGAAAUUUACCUGGUGUAGGGCUAAGUAUUAUUAAAUGCAGAAAAGAUGUUUAGUUAUAGGACUUGAAAAAUAGCUUUUUUCUUUACACUGAAAUAAUUAUUUUCUCCACCUAAUUUACAUGAUACUGGGACAGAAAGAAAGACAGUGGCAGCUGUAAAAGUAAAUUUCAUAUAUGAUUCUUUCAAGAAAGAUUAAUUAGCUGAACUGGUGUUUUACAAUUUUGUUUUUGUCUGCCAUUAAAAUAAUUAUUUCCUUUUUUUUUUUCUAUUUUAUUUUUUCAACAAAGCAAGGUGAUAGCAGAGAGGUAAAGUAUAAGAAUGAAAAGUAAAAUCUAAGAAUUCUUCAGCCAUUUUUAAAGAAAAAUAUUGCAAAAUUAAAGGACUUAAAAUUCAUUUUCAAAUAGUUUUCCACAUAUUUUUGUGAAAUGGGUUUUUUUCUUAAUUAUUUGGAAAACAAUAUUUCAUUGUAGUAAACUAAUUACAAUAAUUUCUUUUCAAUCUUGAUAGCAAUCUUCAGAAAAUAAUCUGAAAGGUAUACUCUUGAUGACAAGUGAGACUGAUCUUUCAUGAUUGAAUGAUAUCUCUUCUGUUUAAAUAUUGUAAGAAUUUUUUAUCUCACUGGGCAGUAAAUACAAAUCUUGGAGGACAGUGUUCAACUUGCUUCUGUUUUCAGAUGCGCAGUGAAUUGAGUAGCAGCAUUCAGAACCCAGGAAUUGUGCUCUGCCCCUAAAGAAUCAUUGAGGCUGUGUUUAAUGAAUGUCGGGCUGGGUUGAGGGGAAUCAUAGCUGAUCAAGAAGGCAGAUAUCUUGGUUAGGAAGAGCUCAUGCUCUAACUCUGAGAUUUCCCAUCACUAAAAAUCCUUAACAAUGAAUUAAUUAAACAAUAAUACCAGGGUGAUGAUUUUAACUAUUACUUCACCUGCCUCCAAAGCCAAUAAAGGAGAAGUCCUACUUACAAGGUUUACAUGCUGGUGUGUGAAAUCUUAUUUGCCUUUAUUAAUAAGUGCUUAAGGUUAAUUUCUUGUCAGGGAUCAUAAUUUUAUCUAUUCUUUGUGGAUAAAAGCACAUAACCCAGUGCUUUCAGGCUUACAUUUAAAGGCCAAAAAACUUCAACAAUGGAAGGGUGUCUACUUCUAUGUUAUUGAUAGAAUACUUUGAUUAGUUCACCGAAAGAAGUGUGUUUUAAUAAUCUAUAUCAUUGCUGAACAAGUGAGAAUUAAAUUUUAGUGUAAAGAGACAUCUGUUCUAAUAUGUACUGUGGCAAAAUAGUUACUGGAUUGAAUGAACAAAUUUGAUCAUCUGGAACUUCUAGGAAAGAUUUCCCGUUGAUUAACCCAGAGACCUUACUUUCACUUAUUGGUGUUGUAUAGAUUGACCAAAAUCCCAGCUAAUGUUGGGUAUUAAAGCCUAUAAUUGAAAGUUAAGUGGAAGAUGAAGGACCCUAAUCACAAACAGAAGACAUUGUUCCUGGUAUUGCCUUAGUAACUGAGUCUGAUCAUUUAAUUCAAAUCAUGAUGUCAGCAGCAAGCCUCAUCUUCCUCUCCCCAAACUUCUAUCCAGUGACACUUCUGCACUGCAUUUUAUUAGCUUUCUGAGGCUUUUAAUCUGUUCCUCAGGUUGAAAAGGUGACCUUAGUACUAAUCACUGUUAAUUACAUGUGUUGUUUGUUUUUUUUAAUUGCCAAGGAAACAUAAAUAGCAAAAUAUGUGGCAUGUUAAUGCAUCCCUUUGCAAUCCAGAACAAUAAGACCCUAAUGUGUCAUACAAAUUUAAAGUGAGAUUGCUGGGUAAUUGGGUACAUAUGGUGAUCCUAAAAGAAAAGGUUACUAUGGAGAAUAAUUAAAAAGGCCUUUUAAAAAUUAUUUUUGCUGCUUAGAUAUUAGUUUUAGAUGUAAGGAGGGAUUUACUUUUCCUUGCCAGAUGUAUUGUCAUUUUAUACUCUGCAAAUUUGUGGUUUUAGGAGGCUAUCAUUAAAAUAAGUCUUGAUUUCAGAAAGAAAGCAUCAGCAUUUAUAAGACUGUCCUGUCCAUAUCUGCAUCCCUUUCCUCUGUGAAUGUUCUGUGAAAGAAAAAGGAAGGCAAUUAAAACAAACCAAAAGUCAGCUCUUAGAUUAGAGCUGCAUAUCUUUUGUACUGCUUUGAGAAUAAAAGAAUAGUUAAGUGACCUUUUCUUUAGUACCCAGUUUCAUCCUACCAGAUGAAGAGCACAACUGCAGGUCAUACCAGCUAAGGACUGUAUCACCUUCUGGAACUGUGCUGUCCCCUGCACUCUCAGUAACAGAUGCCUAUGUUUUUAUGUGAGUGAUUGCAUUGACAGUUAAGAGAGGUGAAUUUAGGCCUCACUUCUCCAUUUUUUUCAUCUGUUAGUGAUAACUUGAAAUACAGCGUUGUUUGAUGCUUUAUUAAUGCACAAGAUGUAUGAAAAUCUCCAUUAAAAAGUGCUAAAAAGUGUUAUUCAUAAUUAUGGUUACUGAGACAAAUACUGAUAUGAUAGUGUGAAACAAGUAAACAGUAUUUUAAUCCAGACAAAGCCCAGUAACAUUAUUACAGCUGGAUGCGGUCUGGAAUUGGUAGAAUUUAGACACUGGGAAUGACCUUUUCAACCCAGGGGCCAGAACUUCUUUAACAUGUCAAGUGUGCUUUCAGAGGAAAUCCUGGAUAUCAUGAGAAGUCCCAACUUGAAGAACUGAAUAUCUUGUACUCAGUUUCAUUCUCAAUUUUUUCAUGUUCCAUUUUUCAUAACGAAUAACAUGUAGAGGAUUAUAGAGGGCAGCUGAGCUGUGGCAUAAAGGUGAGCAGGUUCACACUGAGGUGGAAUGAUGUUGCUCUUUGUCAUGCUCUUUAGGAAAUGACUGAAUGGGGAAUAAGUAAGCAGGUAUAUCUUCUUUUGAACCAUUGACAAAAAGGCAAAAAAAAAAUUAUUUCCUUUCCCAAGUAGGAGGUCAUAUUCAUGUGUUUAUGUAUCCUUCAUAUUGUCAAUGAGAUGAUAGUGGGGGAAGUCUAUUUUGAUUUGUCUUUCCCAAACUCAGUGAAAUUUUACAACAUAGUAUAGAGAUCUAGGACACUCAGACCAAGAUUGAAUGUCCUUGAUUUUCAGUCAGAUAUAAGUAAGCUUUUGAAGAUAUAUGUGAACUGCAAACUAGUUCAACUAGUCCUUUGUCCUAAAUGUAUUCUGAUAAGUCUGGAGAAAGUUUUAUUGAGUUUUAAAAUGAAGUGGAAGUUUGAACAAGGAGAAUGCAUCCUCAUUUGAAUUUGAAAGUAUCAAAGAAGUAGACCAUAGAAAUAUCUACAUACCCACAAGCAGCCACAUAAGAAUCUGUAUGUACUAGUAGAAUACUUAUUUCCAAGAAUUCUUCCCUCAAAUGUAGACAUUUUUAGAACAGAAAUGAAUCAAAGAAAGCUGGACUGUCAGAACCAAAGUCCUUUUUCAGUUACCAGUGCCAAGGGAUAUGUUAUGGGUGAACUUGUUAAGCAGCAUAUAAAUAACAGUAUUUUUUCUGGCUUUCUUUCUCAUGUGAGAUCACGAGCUCUUCGUAAGAGUUACUAAACAGAUGGAGCUCCAUUAACAUGGAACAGGCCCUGUGAGCUAGUUGUGUUUUAAUUAGAUUUACACAACUUUCAUGUUAGAGAGAGUAGCCUCUAAUACUGCCCAAAGAAACCUGAGGACCAUCAAAAGUAUUUCACAAGUAAUUAAUUUCUAAUGUUAAAUUUUAUUAGAUAAGUAACAAUGCUUCAUAAAAUAAAACAGCUUCAUAGAAAAGGUAAACAGAACCUUUCACUGGAAUUAGUUUUCAAGCAAUUUCCUGAGCUUGAUCUUUACAAAAAUUGGAAACAAAACAUCACAUUGGGUGGAAGCAACUGAAGUUUCCAGUUCUCGUUUUCUUUUCUUUUCUUUCUUUUUUUUUUUUUUUUUUUUUUUAACACUCUCUAAUCUUUUGUUGUUGCUGUUACUGUUGUUGCAACUUGUAUCAAAAAUACUUUCUUCAUAAUGAGUGCAAUGUUUCAUUUAUUAUCCUUCAGCUGUAAUUCUUUUCUGAAAUUGUCAUCAUAUUUGAGAGUUGAAGAGAGCACCACUCAUACUUAAUAAUAAACUGACUUUCUAGGGUAAAUAUUACUGACAUCUUACAACACAUUAUAUUCUUUACAGCUGCUAGCUGGCCAAGAAUUUUUUACAGCUGCAUUGUCUGUCUGGCAAAGAGACAAAAAUUAUAUUUCAUUUUCAAUAAGUACCUCAUUUUUCUCUCUACGUCCACAUCAUAUCCUCUGUUUAGGAAAGAGUAAUGACUGAAUGGCUUGAAGUGUCUUUAGCUUCAUUUACAUUACAUGCAAAAUCCUAUGAUAUGGGUUCAAGUAAGAUAAAUAAUUAAUUGACUCUCUGUAACCAGUGAAACAAUUAGCACAUAUCGCAUCAUAAAUAACACAUGUACAUUCACAAAGUAUUGUCAUGGUUCCCUUAAUUCCUAAAUAAAUUAAUUUUGAAAAUUUUGAAAAUCUUUUAUUGUGUAUCAAAAAUUGAAAGAUUUCUCAAUGGAUUACCAACCUAUCCGAGCAACCACAUUUUAAUAGUCAUAUACGUACAUAUAUAUGCAUAUAUAUAUAAUUUUUUUCUGCAAAUCUAACAUAUAAGACAUUCAUAGAUAGGCACAUGACACUGAAAUUGUCUAGCAUUCUCUUGCAUGUUUUCUUGUAAGUAUAUUUCAACAAGAACAUUUAAUGUCAUACCCUUUGGAAAAGACUGAUGUAAAGUAGGCUUAUUAACUCCAACAGCAAAUGAAGUUAUUCACAGUAACGAACUUCUUCACUCUUCACUAACCUGAAGAAAGAAAAAUUUUAGAAUAAGGCCCCAAAUAAUUGGCAGUUAAUGAGAAUAUGAGAUCUUUCCACAGCUGAAGAGAAAGUAAGUUCCCUAAGAAAGAAGACUGAGAUACAGAGCAGGACAGAGCAGGACAGUGGAAGGUUCAUCAUAAACUUAAAAGACUUCAAAUAAAUUAACCCUUGUGGAAAGGUUAGAUUUUAAUAGAUUAUCAUCAGAAAUCUCGCGUGUAAGGUAAGGUAGAAAAAGAAUGGUGCUUUCUAACACAAUCAGUUCAGAUUAGUCUGGAAGUGAAAUUUUGAAAGUUCCUAAAUUGUCAUUGCAGUAACUAGAUGAAUGUACUUCAAGUAAGGUUCAAGUUGGAUGUUAGGGAAAAUUCUCAGAAAGGGUGAUAAGACAUUGGAAUAAGCUGCCCAAGGAUGUGGUGGAGUCACCAUCCCUAGAGGUGUUCAAGAAAUGUGUAGAUAUGGCACUAAAGGACAUGGUUUAGUGUGCAUGGUAUUCUAUAUGGUAGAUAUUGCUUUUCAAGUUCACUAUGCUGAACUACUGUUAGUCAUAGGGAACCUUUAAAACCUAUUGCAGUUUCAAAGCAAUAAUUAUAAAUCACAGAAUCAUAGAAUGGCCUGGGUUGAAAAGGACCAUAAUGAUCAUCGAAUUUCAACUCCCCUGCUAUGUGCAGGGUCCCCAAUUGCUAGACCAGGCUGCCCAGAGCCACAUCCAGCCUGGCCUUGAAUGCCUCCAGGGAUGGGGCAUCCACAACCUCAUACAGUCCGCAGAUUUGUUGUGAUAUUCCUGUUCUCAGUGAUUAGUACUUUAAUAUUUCAAUGGCUUUCAUAUGACUCUACGCAACAUUUAUUAUCUUCUGUCAAGAUAAUAAAUACAGUCUUUUCCUAGAUAGGAAGCACAAAAAUAUUCUCGAAGUCAAAGUAAUGAUUGAAAAACUUUGUAUAAUUAAUGUCUUACUAAAUAGAAGUACAACCCCUUAAACACGUAAGCAACAUUCCACAUUUGAAUGGAAGGACUAAACAAUUUAUUGCCUUGUUAUGCUAUACAACAUGAUUUUUCUCAAUGAUAAGAAAGUUUGAGUUUCCAGAAAGCACUAAUUAAAUGGUGGAGCACAAUAAUGUAAUGGUUCUACAGUGAUAGGCAUCUGUGUAGCAUAUGAAUCUCAGUGGUCCUAUUUUCUAAUCUUUUGGCUGAUGCUGUCAGUCAUAUAAAGAACAUUUACAGAAUAAAAGCAGAAGAUAUAAUAAAAUAUUUUUUCUUUUCUGUAUAAACCAGACCACAAAGGAUUAUUGGCUUGUCAAAUUAUGAUAAUAUAAUCCAGAGUUUAGCAGAAAAACUGAAAGCAGAAAGUUGUUUUUGUGUCAUUAUCAACAUAAUUAUGAUUAUUAUUAUUAACAUUAUUAUUGUAUUAUUGUUAUUAUUAUUUGUGUCAUAAUUAUUAUCAUUAUUAAACUGGAUGUAUAUGUAGAAAAGCCUGGAUAUAUGACAGUAGCAAAAUAAUAUGAAUGCCAUAUAGUAUGUAUAUAUUCUGUAGAACUGCUUACACAGUUGUUUUUUCUUCUGAUUGUCACUGUCAUGACCAUGGGAGCAUCAGCAAGCAUUACUAGCCCUACUGGGUUUGAUGGAAUAGGCAUGACUUGGCAUAGUGUAGCAUGGCAUAGAAAAUCUGACCCCGGGGAAAUCCAUGCCAGACCCCACCAGUGAGCUGGGACAGGGACUGAAGGUCAAUGUCUGGCCUCAGAUGAAGCCUGUGGGCAGAACUGGGUGUAGAAUCUCUGGGUGAGGCUAGUCAGGACCAUUAAUGCUCAUUAAUGAGCACUCAGGGCCCUGUCUGUCACUUUCUCCUUCACAGUUAUGCUUCUUGACACAAAAAGGUAAACUAAUAAAGAGAUCACUGACAAGUGUUCUCUUCUUUCUUUCUCUUAUUUAAUUUCUAAAAAAUAAACGACGUUACCAGAAAUAUUAUUUAAUCUGCAACGCAAUCCAACAAUUAGGUUAAACUCAACAGGCUAAUCUUCUGAUUUCUGUACAGGUUUGUAUAACAGAGCUGCUUCUACAACAGAAUGGAAACCAAAUCCGAUCUGAUCUGUAAUGUCUGACCAGUUGGGGAAGAAGUAUGCUGAUUUCUGUCUGUCAUUUUUCUUUCAAGAAAUGAAUAAGUGAUCAUGAGGAAUCAGGUUCUCAUUAUUUCUCUCUCUUUCUCACUCUCUCUCCCCACCUUCUCUCUCUCUCUCUCUCUCUCUCUCUCUUUUUAAUAGUAAUAAAAUAUUUCAGUAUCUUUUUUUUUUUCCUUAAGGAAGUAAAUGUAUUGAUGAAUCACUUCAAACAAUGCUAAUCAACAAUGUGAGAAGUCUGCAAGAAAGGACAUUGACAGGAGAAGCUCUAUUACUAAUUUAUUUGUCUUUUUAUGGUUCAGUUAAGGGAAUAUCUUAAGGAGUAAAGCACAUGUCAGUGUUGUCAGAUGUUACAUGGUAGCUGUCAGAGUUUUGACUGAUGUACAAGGACUACCUGCUCAUGUUUGCCCUUCCUUUCUGUUGAGUGCACACAGAUAUUUCUUAAAUCUCACUUUACCUGGAAAAGCUCAACUCAUUUUGAAGACCUCUAUUCAGAAAAUAACUGCAACUAUCCAUCCAGGGAGACCAUAUUUGUCUCGCUGGGAGUCAUUUUUCACUCAAAGGAAUGUGGUUCUGCUGCAUCUCUUCAAGGAAUCAUAGGAGCCCUGCGGUUUCUAUGAACUCAGAUGUUUUCUGGAUAUCAGCUGCGAAAAUCAUGCAUUCACAAGAAUUGAAGCUGCCUGACAAUCCCUGGAGGAUUAAACUUCUAGUAAAGAAGAAAAAUGUGAAGAUCCAACCCAUAGGAAACAUUUGGUGUGAUGGAAGAGAAGGCAGUGACUACAUAUUGCAAGUCAUUGUCAUAUGAGAGAGUAUAACUGUCCUAACAAGAUAAUGUAGUUAACUGUACAGUAUCCGAUCAUGCCAAAAGAUGUGGUCAUAUGUGUUACUAAAGGAGGAAAAUUAUUUCAGGAGGUAAAUUCUUUUUUUUCCUGAUACUCUUUAAAUAAAUAACCGAAAUUCUUAAGUUUUUGGUGUGAAAAUUAAAUUAUGCCACUUUAAACUGCAGCCCAAGUAUCUUGAUAGACUUUUUCGAUUUGUAUAUAUAGAAGCAAAUCAUACAUGGAUGUUUACAAGAGCAGUACUACACUGCUAAACUCAGACAUUUGAGUGUCUGAUGAGAAGUGACUAUAUCUUGGAAUUUUCCAUUACACUUUUAGCCAAAAGAAAGUAACCUUUUGGCUCCUAAGUUCUUCCGUUUGUCCAUCAGAAAGAUCCAGGCAGAUUAAGUAAAGUCACUGGCCUAGGUAAAUUCUUUCUUUAAGACACAAUCAACAUAUCCACACAUCCUCUGGCUAAUCUUGGAAGAACACAGGGGGGAAAAAAAAAAAAUUCGAACACUUGACACACUAAGUCUGCUAGUCUGGGUAAUAGCAAGAGUCUGUACUGGAGUUUCUCCAGGAACGCUUAGACAUACUGACUGAAAGUGCCAAUGGCAGCCUGUUUCAUUUCUACACUGUAAAUGGGAGGAAUAACAACCCUUGAACAAUGAAACUUAAGCAGACAACACUGUCUCCUUAGUCUCUCCAUAGAUGAGAGCAGGGGCAGGUACAGGGCAUUCAGUAGUAGGCAAGAGAAAAUAUUACUGAAAUGAGCUGUGAUCCCUAAUUAGGAUGCAGAAUCGAAUGAAGAAUAUGGGGAUUCCCACCUUAUAUUACCUUACCUAAUUUAAGGAAACUCAGCAAGGCUCUAUGUAGCAGAAAAUAUGUCAGUAAAAUCCUUUAAAAAUGGGAUAAAAUCUCAUCUUUAAAUAGUAUGAAGAUGACUUCGUCCCCUAUUGAACACUCAAAGAUGUUACGCUGUUGUUGUCAAACAGUAAUAUAAAUGUUACACAGGCCGAGAUACUGACAUAAAAGACUUAGGUAAUAAGAGUUCUUGAAGUUGUGGAAACUCUACAGUGAUACAAAGUUUUAGAGAAUGUUUUUUAUGUGAGAGAUCCAUACCUACUCAUGUAAAUGAUGAGGACAUUUAUGAAAAUGAAGACUGAAAUGAUUCGACUUAUAGGUAGCAUACACAUACAGCGUAAAAUUAUUUUAUAUUACUUAAAAAAUACAAAGAUCAAGGUAAGGAAAAAAAAAAAGAAAACCUGAAUUUCCCUUUAUUUCACAAAUAGUUUAAAUCCAGGGUCUUUCUUUCCUUCAGCUGUACGAUGAUGGCCAUUAGUUGAUGACAUACUGCAAAUGUAUGUCAUAUUGUUUCAGACCAAUACUCUGGCUUACAAAAGGCCCUGUAAUUAUUCAAAGAAAAUGCUUAUAAAUAUGAACAUUUCAUAUUAGCCUUCCUUAAAGGCUUUGUGAUAUGACUUGUCAGUUAAAGAAGAGGAAAAUAUCAAAGCAUGUUUCCAAAAUAAAAUUUGUAUCCAGCAAGAGGCAACAGAGUAAAAUAAAAAUGUUCAAAAAAUCAAAUCAGAGCAUUGAAUUAAAGCUGUGGUCCUGUUACAUCUAAUGACUGAGUACAUUAAAUGAGUAUAAAUUGGUGAUUCCUAAAAGAAAUUAACAUUUAGCUGUCCAUAUAUGAACACUAUAUGCAAACAUAAUGUUGAAUCCUUCCCCUGAUCUCUAUUGAUGAAACAAUUUUAAAAGUAUGAGAACCAGCAACAGCAAGAUUCCAAAAAAAUCCCAAACAUGGAGUAAAUGCCAUUUUCAUUUAAAAAGUAAGAAAAAUAUUGCCAUUCCUUACUUUAUAUAACCAUCUAAUCCCCAGACAGGCUCUCUGUGGUGAGUUCUUCAACAGCAUACUGGAAAAGUUAGGACCUUCGGAGUAGAACUGAACAGAUGACAUCUAAAGUUCUCUCCAGGUAGCCUCAAACAGCCAACUGAGAAGUGGAGUUCAGUGCUACUCAACUUGGCUGUCUUUUUGAGACCUAAAGGAAAGGCACUUAUCUUUUUCUUGGAAUGCACAGUCUAGAAUCUUUUUUGUGACUUUUCCAUGAUCAUUUCCAUACUAUACUCUUUUAAUUUUCAAAAAGAAAAGGUGGAAACUGUGCGUAGGUUACUCCAAAACUAAUCCCUCCUAGUUAUUUUCACAGAAACUUCAACAAAGAGCGCAAGAACACUAUUUGUUAGAGCAAAUUCUCAGCUACAAAGCACAUUCUUCAAUAUGGUCACCACCAUUAGCCAUGCAGUUUGACCAGCAAUGAACAAAAACCUGCAUGCUGUGCUUUUGAAAGACUGUACCAACAGAGAUGACCUACUGUCGCUACUACUGAAAUACACUGCUCACCAUGUCACUGUGCUCAUAUCCACUGUGUGGUCCCCAUAAACCUUCAGCAAGCAUCAGUGAAUGUCAGUUGCAAUUUUUUCCACUUGGAGGAAUUCCAUGCCACACCUUUGCUUCAUACACACUUGCAUUUCAGACACAAUUUCAUCAGAUUGCCCCUCUGCUACCAUCUAUUGCGUGGCAAAAAAGUGUGACAGUAUAUCGUCAGGAAGGUUCAACCUCUACUGCCAUACCAUCAACAUCUACCUCUGACAUAGUAAGUCAACAUAAUAAAUAGGAUGCAUUACUUUCAGAGAAGUAUUCAUAGUUUGUUUCAGUGCUAGCAGUCAGGUUAUCUAUUCAGGCCAAGAGGUAGGGUCUGGAGCAGAAGCUGCAAGCUAUUAGCCUAGGCAUCUUAAAAAGGCAGCACAUACACAUCUUUAAGUACCUAGAGGACUCUCAAGUUGCUACUGAGAUACACUUUUUGUUUUGUGAGACAUAUAUUCCUCAUUAAGUGAAAUAUACUUACUUCUAAUUUAGGUAAUAUUUAGUUCACUAAAUUCAGAAUAGAAUUUUAAUAAUCUUACAAACGAUCUUUUGUACCCUUCUACUUGUUAUUUAUGUUUAGUUGAAUAACCUCCUUGCAAGUUUAUUGGCUAGUGUAUGUUGGCAUCUCCCUAUUCACUAAUGAAGCUGAUCUUGAAAUAACUCCUUACUGGGCCAUGAAAAAUGAGAAAGCAGAAACUUGAAAGUGAAGCAGUGAGCUUUUAUUCUAUAUCUGUGAAGGAGCCCACACAUAUUCCAGACUGUAUUGUCUGGGCUGUUUACACGUUUUACAUAUUUCUUUUAAAAUCUUACUUCUUCACUGUAUUGCAGUGAUGGCAAACUAUUGGUGUAGAGGUCCACUGUUGAAGCAGAAGAGCACUGAAGUAUACAAUACGGCAUCAAGAGGAGAGUGCUCUCUUAGAGAUGUUUUUCUCCUAUUUUUUUUUUCUUUUACCCAUAUAAAUCAAUGUAAGGAAAUGUAGACAUAAACUAUUAAUGUUUACAGAUACCUCCUGACUAGUCUUAUAAAAACAGCACAUACCUCUCUGUUGCACCUGAAGGCUACUUCAGUAAAGCCAUGGUUUAGGAAGGGUUUAAGCAGUGCGCUUUAAAGGAGCUUUGCUCACACUGGUGAAGCUGUGUAUAGUGAGACUGCUUAUAUAUAACUGGGGCCUAAUUAUAGAGCUGACUAAAAGUAAUUAAUAAAAUUUAUUUUCUUUUAUAUGGCUCCAAAUAAAAAAUCUAUGAAAAGUGAUUAGGAUUGUAGUCAGAUAAUGCUGUGAUAAAUGAGUGGCUUCUCUAUCUUUGCCUGUACUUUAAAAAAUAAAUAAUAAUUUUGAUUUAAAUUAUAUAGUCAUACUCAAAACCUAGGUCACCAUAUUUCCUUUAAAAUGGUUUUUGAGGUCUUUUCUGAAAAUUGCACAGUUCUUUUUUGUUCCACCUUCUUUAUAUAGUCAACUGCAAUAUAACACAAAACGUUGUGUAUCACAGACUGUCUUCAUAUUGAUAUGGCAUACAUAUCCUUUAUUUUCUUUUGUAGUUGAUCAGUCUGUUUCUGUCUCUUAUUGUUGUUGUUGGUUUUUUUUAUGUGACACCUCUGAGAUGGUACCCAUAGCAACAUCCACUAGCACAGGUGAGUCUGUGAAGUUACUGCAGCUAUCCGCCAGUCAUUAAUCUAGCAGUAUCUAUCUAUUCAGAUCUGUACAGUUGCUCUUCUGGUCUUUCCUCUUUCCAGAAGUAACUGCUCUGUGCACAAAAAUCUGAAAAAUAACUCUUAAAGAUUUUCCAUGUAUUUAAUGGCUCUUUUUAAUCUGUUUAAGCAGUUCUUGCAGAUUAAAGUAUAGAACGAUUACUAUGCAAAUUAGUUUCCUGAAUUUUGAAAUUCAGCUUCAACAUCUCUGAGUAUUUCCAAAAUACUAAUUUUACGUAUAAAAGAGAAAAAAAAUUGAAAAUCAAAUUAAAAAAAAACAAACACAAUUUCUUAGUUUUUUAUUUUGUUUAAGAACGUAGGUCACAUUCUAUAAAACUAUCUCUGAAAUAGUUACAACAAAGUUACCUUCAUUUUUCAGUAAAAUGUGAUUUUUUUUUCUAAGAAUGAAUGAUGUGCUCUAAUUUAAUAUCUUGCACAGUUUUUAACUACUUCAGUACAAAUAAGUCCAAACUUGCUGCCAGUCCAGCAGAGGUCUUGUGCUGGCCAGCUGCACACCAUGUAAGUUUCAUCCAAAGAUUAAUCUAUGACUGAGAUUUUAAAAUGAAGUUAAAGUGGUUAUGGUCAAAAAUCCCACUGAAACAUAAGGGGAAUUCUAUCUCUAACUCCCUUAAGUGUUCCUGAAAUUACUGCUCCAAUUAUAGAGCCAAAUCCAAGAUGGAAGAAUUAUGUUUUUCUUUCUGUGGGCUACAGUUGAUACAUUUAAAUCCCAUUAAUUUAGGCCUUUGAUACUUGUCUAUGACACUUCUUAAUUGUUAGUACAAAUGUGUUUAAUUAAUAAAAAUUAUUUUGACAUUAUAUUACCUUUUUGGUGUACAUCAUAAUCCAUGAAUAACUGGAUGGAUACAAAUGUUUAGAACAAAUCAAUAAGUUUUGCAUUAUUCGUGUUCAAUUUUACCAAUUUUCAGGUGAUCAUGCACAGGCUCUUUUCACCAGUGUGGAAUGUGAUGAAGUCUUUCUGGUAAAGUGCAUGUUAGUGGUCAUUAUCUGUAGCUAUAUUCAUUGAGACCAAAAAUGCAUAUACCCAGGCAAUUCCUGAGGUUGGCUAAGGGAUUUAAACAUGCACACAACUUACCACAUAUUUCAGAAAAUCAAAUAAAUAAAAUAUGUACUUGAAUGAGGGCGCUAGUUAUUCUCCAGUGUCUUUCUCUUGUCUGGAAUGCAAUACAUAGACCUCUGUUAAAGUUAUCAAGGCUCAUCAUAAAAUUUGUGUCUUUGUGCUGACAAGUUCAUUCAGAAUGUGCAAAAUAUCCCAGCGCACCAUUUCAUAACCAGAGCUUAAAAAGAUUUUGUUCAGAUCGUAUUGCUGGACCAGUAUGAUGCCCAGCAUUUUAAGUUACUGUCUUCUCAGUUGUGGGGUAGUUUCAAAUCACAUCAGGGAAAAUCUGACUUGAUGAUUCUCCAUUCAUUUUGAUGAAUUAGUAGGAUGAGAAUGACAAACAUAUAUGUGGUAUUUGACUCAUAAGUUAUUUUAUUGUGAGGUUAACUUGUUGAAAAGGUAAGAACUAUACUUUGAUCUGUAUUUAAUCACAAUAUAUCAGACACUGGAAUUAAAAAUUCUGAUGUUCAAUUCUUCUAAAAUUAAAAAAAAAAAGUUGGAUAUGACAAAUAUCUGGUAAAAAUCUGGUAAAUAUCUGGUAAAGAUCUGGUAAAUAUUAACAUUUCUUCAGGGUUUUAUGUGUGAUAUAGUUUAAAGGAAGAUUUCUGAUUUACAUUACAAUGAACAGUAUCAGUUAAUUAUAAAUCCUAGAAUCUGUAUUGAAAAAAUCAAUGUAUUUUUAACUGUGUGCUUUGGAGGCAAGACAAUUACACAGAAAAAUUUAUUUAGAAUUUUCAAUUAUGAAAAUAGUUUAAAAAAAAAAAAAAAGGAAGUUCUUGUGCCUGGUUUUGUUUUGUUUUAAACAGGAAAAUAUGAAUUUCAACAUUAGUGAAUAAUUUAUUAGGUUGUUUUUUUAACGUUACUUGGUAGAUAGAUAAAACACAUGCAUGAUCCAUUAAACAUCUGCUAAAUACACAGAUUUCAGUUAUCUUAAGGUACAACCUGAGCUAUACAGUCAAACUUCAACACCUUUAAAAGUAGAAAGUCACCUUUUGAACUUGUGUACAUCUGCAUCUUUGAUUAAUUGCACAUCAAUUUAAUUGCUUAGUUUAGGGUACCGUUGAGACAAUACAGAUUUAAUUUCACUUUAAAACAAUGAGAAAUUCUGAAAGCACGUUUCACACCUCACAUAUCUGAAACUAUAAGAACAAUGUCUUAUCAUGAUUAAUCCAGUAGUUACAUGCAGAAUAGCUUUGCAGAGACUGUAGCAUAUAAUCUCAGAGGUAGUGGCUGAAAUUUAAGAUUUGUUCUGGGAACUGGCAUCUUUUUUACUUUCUGUAGACAUUCUAAGGCUGAGAAGAGACUUGAGUUAGACCAUUUUUACUACAGCUGUCAGGAGUCACUUCUAUGUCUAAAGAGUCCAAAAAGCUGAGUUUCUACUCUGAAAUACUGAAUAGAAAUCCCUUAUAACAAACCUUACCAAGUAUAAUUAAAGGCAAAUUCUGCUAAUUAGUAACAAAAGUAUAUGGAUAAAUGUAUGACAGAUAAUAAUAAAAUUUCCUUUGUAAACUGUUGUUUCUCAGUAGCUAUGUCAAUUGAGAGAUGCAUUUCAUUGCAUAUGGCUUUCAUCUUAAAGGCAGAGAACAAUUUUUUGGUCAACUUCUUAAUGAAAUUGAACGAGACAUCUCUCAUAAAACUUCUAACUUCAGUAGACAUUUAGACAUUACUUUCUUCCUUGAAAAACAUGGAUGAAUGUUUUAAAGAGUUUCCAGUCAUUAAAAGGAAUGCAAUCGCAACAUUACUUUCCUAGUAACCAGACCAAUACUCAUUGUGAAUGCCUUCAUCUGUAAUAGGUCCUACUGAUUUCAGUGAAACUAUUUGAUUAGUAGAGCACGGGUGAACACAAACCAGAGUGUUAAAGUCUGUUCCAAACCUCUCUCAACAUAUUUUCAUAAACACAUUUUAGAAGCUGAUCCUUAACAACUUUAAUAUAUGUUUCCAUUUAAAUCGUUGUUGCUAGACCAAUUUAUAUAAUCUUCAGUGUAAGCACCACAGCUAAAGAUUUAAAAUGGAUGUGUACCAUAUUCAGAUUUUCUGGUUGGACAGAAAUAAUUUCAGACAAUAUAAAUUGAAUUGUUUAUUUUAUCCUCUUCGCUCACAUUAGAUUACUGUCCUGUGAAUGUGCUACUCAAAUGGACAGUGAGGAAGUCCAGAACUUUAUUGAGUACUGGGACUUGUAUAAACUGAAUCUUGCUAGAUCAUAUUGUAUAUUACAGAUGAUUCUUGUGCUAGUUUACAGAUUGCAUAAUGCACAGAGUGCUAAUUAUGUUCAAGAGCAACUUCAAAAGAAAAGAAAGUACUUAGUAUAAGAAAUAAAUCUUUUUAUUAGGUAGAAAUUAAUUGGUUUCAAAUUCUGAUCAAAUCAUGAGAUUAUAUCCAUAUUAACACAGAUUAAUUUACUGUAAUGAAUGCUAAUAGAACUAAUUAUAAUCAGGCAGUGUUGCACUGAGUGAAAAAUUUCAUAAUGGUUCCUUUCAUAUUAGUAGUACAUUAUGUGCAUUUUUCAAAAAUACAAAAAGUAAGAAUUAAGUUAAAUGUGUUUUAUGGUGAAGGUAUGUUAAAGAAAUUUGGAACCUAGUUAAUGGGAUGAAUGAACUUUUGCCCUAAUGAAAGUUGGCUUGGUACAAUCCUUCAAGCAUCUAAAACCCGUUUAUUUUUUUCUGUAAGAUCCACAUGACAUCCUAAUAUAGUGUAAAAUCUCAGAGUGUGGAAGUUCUCUUUGUGAUUUUUUGUUUUUGUUUUUGUUUCCUUGUUGUUUUUUUAUUUUAUUUUCUGACCUAUAGUCCCCAUGAUGCUUGAUGCUAAAUCAUGAAAUAAUGAAUACUGAAUUACUUACGUCUUUUUCAAUUUCCACUGAAAAUGGACUUUAAUUCAAAACUAUGUCUGGUUAAUUAAACUUUCCAUGAUCUAAUUUGAUCUAAUUAUUUCUAUAAAUUAAGAUGUAACCAGAAUUAUAUCCUAAGGUAGAACUGGGAUAUAGUUACACAUUUUUACUUAGAUGGAAGGAAGUAGAUCUUUAUCAUUCUCUCCUAUUAACUCUAACCUUGCUGGCCACUUUAAUUAAGACAGCUCUGCAAACUAAAUGAUGAACAAAGAACUAUAUUUUCAAAAUGUCAGUCAGGUUUUGUUUGUUGGCUUUGGGUUUUUUGUUUGUUUGUUUGUUUGUUGCUUUUUUAAAAAAAUGUAAUUGAUUUUUCUGUAGACAUUUGGGACACUAUUGUGUUUCCCUUUGCAUCUAUCAUGAUUGGUUUUAGCACAAUAAAAGCAAUUGAUAUGAUUCUUAUUCAAUGUCCUGUACAUAUUUGAACUCUGUUUCACUUCUGUUUAAUAAUGACACUAAAUUAUAACUUAAAUUAUUUUAUUUUUUCCUACACAGCUCUGCUUUUUUAGAAGAUUUGCUCUACUAAACCAUACACAACAUGAUUCAAACAUUUACAACAUGACUAACAUGACUACAUUCUCAAAAAAACUGGGAAAGCUCCCUGUAAAAUUAUUUUAUUUCGUCCAAAUUAAAAUCAAAUUGUGGAUCAAUUUGUUCACCAAGAAUAUUUGUUACCUUCUGAAAAUGCCUGUUACUCCUUAUUUUUUUUUUAUUAUUAUUUUUUGGCUACUUUCCCUAAGUUGUUGCUGUCCUCCUUGUGAAUUAUAGAGUGAACACUCUAUAGUAGAGAGUACUCUAGCUCAGGAAGAGAUCAGGAAUUAAAUUCUUUACUACAAACUCUCAGUAAAAAACUCAGUGUAACUGAAGAGGGAUAAUAAUGUACUCCUCUUCAUCUUGUUGAUUAUUGAUCAAUUGUUGUUUUUUUUUCCAUAAAAAGAAACCAGUCAUUUUGACAUAUUGAGGAAGCUUAAGGAAUCUUCAGAAACUGAAAUCUCUCCAAGCACAGUAUAGUAGAAAUAUUGAUCAAUGUUUGCAGUUUUUCCAACAAAAUCAUCUUGAAACACGUGCAGACACAAAAAUCCUUUCAAAAUGCAUACAAAUUAAAUGAAUAUGUAUUUGUAAUCUUCCCCAGUGACAUUCAGAAUUAUGGAUUUUAAACCAUUCCAUUAGAGUCACACCCUCUGUGGGAGAAUAAUAUAGUAGAUGUAAAGCUAAGUAGUUGAUAGCCUUUCAUAUUUUGUGUACAUAAUUGUUACUUUUUAAAUCUAAGAUUUACUUGUGAUUAGAAUUUUAAUAUCUAAAAUCCAUACAUUCUCAAAAAGUAAAUCAGCUUAAGUUUCCUUUUCUCUCAUCAUUCUACAAGUGAGGAAGAUCUCUUCUGAUUUUCUGUGACUGCACAGGAUCCUUCUCAUAUGAUUUUAUCUUAAUUUUUGAUCCUCAUACUAGCUUACUGAAAUAUUUUAUCAGUUUUAUUUAAUUAGAUCCUAAUAAAAAUCAUUUUUUCUUACUAAUUAUUCAACGCUAUAAGAAUACUUAUUACUAUGCAGUGGUAUCAUGGAAUGGAAAUGUAAAAUUUAUUUGCUUACACAAGUUUUUCUUCAUAUCUUUGAAAUAAAUUGUCUAACAGCACAAGGUGUUCAGCAUUUCUUGUGGUAUUUAGCAUCUCAUAGGCACUCUGGAAACAGCCUCCAACAGCUCUUUUCACUGGCAAGAAAAGAUGUGUUGUACCAAUUUACAUUAAAAAACAAAAAAACCCACACAAACUCAUCCAUUAGGAUUAAUUAAUACAUAACAAAUAUGAAGCAUUAAUCCAUUUUCAUAGCAUAUUUAAUUUUCAGUAGUAAUAUUCUGCUCUAAUAUUACAGGGACCUUGCUAGAAAAGAGGACAAACAAGGGUUUUGAGAGAGUGAAGACUAGAAAAUAGUCCAUAAAAUGAUCUUUCUCCAUUAAAAAAAAAAAAAAAAAAGGAGAGAGAGAGAGAGAGAGAGAGAGAGAGAGAGAGAGAAUUUGACAUGGCAAUAACAGCUACAGCAUAAGCUACCUGACCUUGCCCUUACAAUGACCCCAACCUUGACUUGUAGGGACACUCUCCCUAGGGAUGAGAGGUAUGUUAUUACAUGUUAUUUCAUUACAAGGCCCUUGCUGAGCAGAGACUGCCAAAUGGACUCAAUUAAGUGUAUCUUGUGAUGUGGAUUACUAUCUACCAGGGUGAGUUGAUACUAGCAAACAUUUUUCAUUCUCUUCAAGUUUGACUGGAUAUGAAAAGCAUGUGCGUUAGUCAUUCUAUGACACUUCACUGCAUGAUUUAUAUCUAUUUAGAAAAAUCAUAACACUCAGACUUCAGUUGUGCACUGCAAUCUUUUCUCACUCUUUGUCCUUCAGCAAGAAAUCUGUAUUCACACUCAAGGAUUAUGUAGUCAGACCUCACCUUCAUUUUUCCAAAAAGAAAUAUUACAUCAAAAUGCUGUUAUAUUCUCUGUUAUAUUCUGAUGAUCAAACUGUUGUUUAGCAUUGAGAAUAAAGUUCAAAUAUGUCACAGACAUAUUUAUUCUGAUCUCCUCUAAAAAAGUUGUAUCAGGGAUAAAAGAUUGA